UGAGUGGUGUUUGGUUUGUUUGGGUGGUUGGCUCUCAGCUUUGCUACAACUUCCACCUSGCUUACCUCUUCGGUUAUCUGUCUAGGCAUUUAUUGCCUAGGUGGAAUGUGGGUUUCCUGUGUUGCCUACCUAAGUGACGGUAUUACCUUGAUCGAUUGGUGUCCCUUUUCAUCUUUUGCCAUUCCAUGACAUUAGAUGAACCAUAAAGUUGUCUCUUUGAGCCAUGACAUUGCUUGUYGAUGUUGUGGAACAUUGAGCAUUGCUCGGUCUCUUGGAUACGGAACGUGAUGUGGGCAUGGGGUCUCUUGAGAUCCUUGUGUUGCCCUCAUUAAGCGUUGUCGCUUCUCUCGAAAACGACUUCUUGACACGCAGUGGCUCGUACCAGCGUGUCGAGUUUAGUCAAAGAGGAAUGCUACCUGGUUGAUCCUGCCAGUAGUCA
RNAcentral lists this unclassified non-coding RNA (439 nucleotides) under Florestina platyphylla. RNAcentral's name for it is "partial contains external transcribed spacer and 18S ribosomal RNA". The record is from RNAcentral. Lineage: Eukaryota; Viridiplantae; Streptophyta; Magnoliopsida; Asterales; Asteraceae.